This is a non-coding RNA of Pantherophis guttatus, 381 nucleotides long. NCBI's taxonomy places the organism in Eukaryota, Metazoa, Chordata, Lepidosauria, Squamata, Colubridae. The record is from the annotation of a RefSeq genome assembly.
GAGACUUUUUUGAAGGAAAGCACCAUGGCCUGGACACUGGUUUUCUUUUCACUCCUCAGUUAUUUCUCAUGCGUCACUUCACAGCCCACCUUGACUCAGCCUGCCUCCCAGUCUGGAUCUCCAGGAGGGACAACUAAAAUCUCCUGUGCCAUCAGUAGCAAUCCAAGCACCAUUUACUGGCUUCAGCAGAGAUCUGGGGAAGCCCCUCGCUUUGUGCAAUAUGAUGGUGGCAGCAGAGGAGAAGGGAUCCCAGACCGAUUCACGGCAACCCGAUCAGGCAACAAUGGCUACUUAACCAUCACCAACCUUCAGGCUGAGGAUGAGGCUGAUUAUCACUGUUACAUGUGGUAUAGCAAUACGUUCCACAGUGAGACAAUCUAA